CUCGGAUAUGAGUGUUUUACACACAAUAAAAGCUUAGUAUACAGGCUGAAUUUGUAUUCUCCAAUGGCAUUCACUUUGUCAAGCAGGUGCAGAGUGUGAUUUCUGACCUUCAGCACCUUCCUCACUGACUACAAUUUGUGAACGAGUGGCUGCUGGGCUGAAGAAGGGGUCUUCUGUGCAAACUACAGCAUGCAGGUUUUAUGAAUUCAGAAGAACUUCUGACCUACUCCUCAAAAUAGUUCACAGGUGCUUGUGAAUGCUGACAGGCAGAACUCUCAGGAAUAUGGCUUAAUCCCUUUAUGUAUGGAGCUGUACCUUACCAUGCUUGCAAAAUACAACAACAACAAAAAAGGAUGAGGAACCUGCACUUGUAGAGCUUGUACAGUGUGUCAGUACACGUGAUUUAACAUAUAGGAUAAGCUAAUGCAGAAGUAAUAAAACCUAGGACAUUGCUAAAGUGCUCUCUCCUUUGGUUUCUCCUUGUAAUGAAUAAAAGUCCUAGGGAUUAAUGGCCAAACACAUGCAAAGUCUGCAAGAAAAAAUAUCCGGAACGUCCAAGAUGUAAAGUUUUGUUUCAAUUUUGAUGACAUAUUUCUUGUAUUUACUUUCUUUUUCCUUUGUCAUUCAUUUUCUUUUCAGUUCUUCUUUGCCUAACUCAUCUAGCAUUCAUUCUCUUUGUCCUUGCUUUCUGCAAAUUAGUCAUCUUUUUAUGAAACUUAAUCUGGUUCUUUAAGAUGACAGAAGAUUGUUUUACAAAAGCUGCAUUUUUUUAACAUUAUUUGUAUUUUUUUUUUAAACUUUAUAAGCUGAAUAAACAUGUCUCUUCAGAAACACAGAAGGUUUACAUACAGAAUUAGAAAACUUGCAUUUUAUUUUUUUUCAUGCUUAUUUAUACAAGAUGAUUUAGAAACAGGUUUGAUGUUCAUGCUACUACUUAGCCAUGCUAAAUUUUCUUGCUGGCCUUGUAUUUUGUUUAGGCUUUCAUGAUGAGAAACAAUACAUUCUUGCUGGUAUCUAUUUUUCAGAAAAUCAGAAAUCUUCAGUAGUACAUCAUUCCACAGAAAUGGAAGAACUGAUCUUCAAGUUGCCUACAUCUUUUAGCAAUUCUUCUAAAGUAAGAGAACAUCUAUUAAUAAACAGAU
Long non-coding RNA from Lagopus muta (rock ptarmigan), 1142 nucleotides. RefSeq lists it as uncharacterized. The record is from RefSeq and is a predicted model, not a curated record. NCBI's taxonomy places the organism in Eukaryota, Metazoa, Chordata, Aves, Galliformes, Phasianidae. The transcript has 3 exons.